RNAcentral lists this long non-coding RNA (628 nucleotides) under Pan troglodytes (chimpanzee). RNAcentral's name for it is "long non-coding RNA NONPTRT013526". The record is from RNAcentral. Lineage: Eukaryota; Metazoa; Chordata; Mammalia; Primates; Hominidae.
GAAUUGAUUUACUGGGGUGUUAAAACGAAAAUCUGAAAUUCAGUCUUACUGAUGCGGUGUUAAUGGAGCAAUCUGAUUUCAUUGACAGUUUGUCAUUGCUUUUUGGCAGAAGAACUUCCAGAAUUUUCUCUUUUUGUGUGUGUGUGGUUGAACAAACACAUCUGAAGUGUAGUUGAGGGGCAUGUUUUAAAGAAUGGACUCUGCAAUUCAUUGUGAUGGUUUAGGUGUGUACACACACUUGAAACUUUCUGAGGAAAGUUCUUGAAUAGUACCUUCCUUUUGGAGUUAGAAUUUGAAGUUUAACAUGCAUAACUUUGAAAAUUUAGAACAUGUUGUAGGAGACGUUCCUCAGAAAUUAAUGACAAAGUGAUAAUGGUUUUAAAAACUUGAAUGACAAGUGAUGAGAAUAUAUAUAACUUGCAUGAUUUGGGGGUACCGCUAAGAGUAAUUAAAAUACCUCAUUCUAUUUCUAGCGCUGCUAUUAGUAGCUUAGUGAUCUGAGGCAAAUUACUUGACCUUUGUGGACUCUAUUUCUUACCUGUAAAAUGAACGAUUUAGAGAUGACUUAAAGAUUUCUCCAAACUGUAAAAAACGAAUUGCUUUCUUUUUAUUCUCCUCCUCAUUUUAA